GCGGCAUGCCUAACACAUGCAAGUCGAGCGAGAAAGCCCUUCGGGGUGAGUACAGCGGCGCACGGGUGAGUAACACGUGGGUAAUCUGCCCUUGAGUUUGGGAUAACCCUGCGAGAGAAGGGCUAAUACCGGAGAGACCACAGGAACAUAAGUUCCCGAGGUUAAAGGCGGCGUAAGCUGUCGCUCAAGGAUGAGCUCGCGGUCUAUUAGCUUGUUGGUGAGGUAAAAGCUCACCAAGGCUGUGAUGGAUAUCUGGUUUGAGAGGAUGAUCAGACACACUGGAACUGAGACACGGUCCAGACUCCUACGGGAGGCAGCAGUGGGGAAUUUUGGACAAUGGGCGAAAGCCUGAUCCAGCAAUGCCGCGUGAGGGAAGACGGUUUUCGGAUUGUAAAUCUCUGUCGGCAGGGACAAAUGAUUCUAUGGUUAAUACCCAUAGGAAGUGAUGGUACCUGCAAAGGAAGGGGCGGCUAACUCUGUGCCAGCAGCCGCGGUAAUACAGAGGCCCCGAGCGUUGUUCGGAAUUAUUGGGCGUAAAGCGGGUGUAGGUGGCGAUGCAAGUCGGAUGUGAAAUCCCUGGGCUCAACCCAGGACGUGCGUUCGAUACUGCAUUGCUAGAGUGCGGUAGAGGAAAGUGGAAUUCCUAGUGUAGGGGUGAAAUCCGUAGAUAUUAGGAGGAAUACCAAAGGCGAAGGCGGCUUUCUGGCCCGCAACUGACACUCAGACCCGAAAGCGUGGGUAGCAAACAGGAUUAGAUACCCUGGUAGUCCACGCCGUAAACGAUGGAUGCUUGUCGUUGGAGGAUUGAAACCUUCAGUGACGGAGUUAACGCGUUAAGCAUCCCGCCUGGGGAGUACGGUCGCAAGAUUAAAACUCAAAGAAAUUGACGGGGACCCGCACAAGCAGUGGAGCAUGUGGUUUAAUUCGACGCAACGCGAAGAACCUCAUCCUGGUUUUGACAUCUACUGGACGACUCUUGGAAACAAGGUUUUCCCUUCGGGGACCGGUAGACAGGUGCUGCAUGGCUGUCGUCAGCUCGUGUCGUGAGAUGUUGGGUUAAGUCCCGCAACGAGCGCAACCCACGCCCCUUGUUGCCAUCAUUUAGUUGGGCACUCUAGGGGGACCGCCGGCGUCAAGCCGGAGGAAGGUGUGGAUGACGUCAAGUCCUCAUGGCCCUUAUGACCAGGGCUACACACGUGCUACAAUGGAAUAUACAAAGGGCAGCCAAACCGUAAGGUGGAGCUAAUCUCAAAAAAUAUUCCUCAGUUCGGAUUGAGGUCUGCAACUCGACCUCAUGAAGCUGGAAUUGCUAGUAAUCGCAGAUCAGCAUGCUGCGGUGAAUACGUUCUCGGGUCUUGUACACACCGCCCGUCACACCACGAAAGUCGUUUGCACCAGAAGUCGCUGUCCUAACUUCGGAGGGAGGCGCCCAAGGUGUGAGCGGUGAUUGGGGUGAAGUC
RNAcentral lists this ribosomal RNA (1460 nucleotides) under uncultured organism. RNAcentral's name for it is "bacterial SSU rRNA". It matches the Rfam family "Bacterial small subunit ribosomal RNA". The record is from RNAcentral.